Molecule: ribosomal RNA, 156 nt
Filed under: Thalictrum atriplex
Lineage: Eukaryota; Viridiplantae; Streptophyta; Magnoliopsida; Ranunculales; Ranunculaceae
Also listed under: 1 other name
Description: 5.8S ribosomal RNA
Rfam family: 5.8S ribosomal RNA
About the family: 5.8S ribosomal RNA (5.8S rRNA) is a component of the large subunit of the eukaryotic ribosome. It is transcribed by RNA polymerase I as part of the 45S precursor that also contains 18S and 28S rRNA. Functionally, it is thought that 5.8S rRNA may be involved in ribosome translocation.
Source: RNAcentral
GACUCUCGGCAACGGAUAUCUCGGCUCUUGCAUCGAUGAAGAACGUAGCGAAAUGCGAUACUUGGUGUGAAUUGCAGAAUCCCGUGAACCAUCGAGUCUUUGAACGCAAGUUGCGCCCGAGGCCUUCUGGCCGAGGGCACGUCUGCCUGGGCGUCA